GUCCCGGUCCUGUCCUGGUCCCAUCCCAAUCCUGAUCCUGUCCUGGUCCCCAUCCCAGUCCUGGUCCUGUCCCGAUCCUCGUUCUUGUCCCGAUCCUGUCCUGGUCCUGGUCCUGGUCCUGUCCCCAUCUUCGUUCCUAUCCCCAUCCCAGUCCUGGUCCUGUCCCGAUAUCCAUUCUGGCCUUGUCCCCGUCCCCAUCCCGGUCCUGUCCCCGAUCCUAAUUACUGCCCCCAUCCCCGCCCCUGCCCCUCUCCUUGUCCCUCUCUCUGUCCCAUCCCUGCCCCUGUUCCCCUCUCUGUCCCAUCCCUGUCCCUCUGUCUGUCCCAUUCCUGUCCCUCUGUCCCUGUCCCUCCGUGGUGGCUGCUCCGUCUCCUGCUGGAAAAUCAACUUUAGUGAUGCUCCCACUUCAUGAAAUGAGGAAAACCCAGGAGGUGCCCCACCUGGUUUGUCAGGAUUUCAUGCAAAAAUCACCUGUGACUGCAAAAAAACCACCCCGAGUUCUCCUCCACACCUUGAAUUAUUUAUUUUUAACUCCUUCAGUGUGAAAAUGGGGCUGUGACCCAGAUAAUGAGCGGCGUUUGGGAGCUGGCUCCUGCCUUAUCAGCGACCCGGGAGCUCCAAAGCACGAAAGGACAGAGUGGGCUUUCAUCUCAUCCUCGGGGUCUUCCCGCGGAGUUGUCACCUCCUGCCGUUGUCACCCGGCUGUUCCUUGUCCCCUGCUGUGUCCCCGUGCCCUUUGUCGUGCCAGCCUCGGGCACAGGGGGAUGAGGAGCGGAACCCCAGCCAGGUGAAAAGCUGAGCCUGAGCACUAAUUACCACGAGAAGAGAGAAAAUCGAUGAAGCAAAGGCGGAGCGUUCAUUAAUAAAGAACCCGGUGACUUGUA
Molecule: long non-coding RNA, 884 nt
Organism: Onychostruthus taczanowskii (white-rumped snowfinch)
Lineage: Eukaryota; Metazoa; Chordata; Aves; Passeriformes; Passeridae
Exons: 2
Source: RefSeq, a predicted model, not a curated record